Molecule: long non-coding RNA, 536 nt
Filed under: Mytilus galloprovincialis (Mediterranean mussel)
Lineage: Eukaryota; Metazoa; Mollusca; Bivalvia; Mytilida; Mytilidae
Source: RNAcentral
GUCCAACGGAUAAAAUGUCCGUUGAACGUCCGUUGGGCGUCCGUUUUGUACGGUACUCGUCCGUUUCGUUUCCGUUUUGUAUCCGUUACGUGUCCGUUAUACAUUCGUGGAGGUCUGGAAGAUAAAUUCACCAACGGACUUCUACCGGACGUAUAACGGAUAAAACGGAUGUUGAACGGAUGAGAAACGGACUUCUACCGGACGUAUAACGGAUAAAACGGAUGAUGAACGGAUCUGAAACGGAUAAAUGCCAAUUGAAAGUUUCGCGUGAGAAAUGCCAAUUAUUGGUAUGUCAGAUUUCUUAAGGUUCAUGAAUUCAUAAUCGAUCUUAGAGUAUAGGCACGUCUUCACAAUCAAGCAGUUCUUAUUCAGGCCAGACACUGCCCUUUGGAGGAAUUAUGAAGAACAAACCAAAACCAGUUACAUAGAAACAUUUUGAAUAUUUAUGCGAUUUACAUGUAUUAUUAUUGUCGCCUUUGAUUUUUCCGUAAAUCUUGUUCAUCCGUUUUAUCCGGUAUGCUUCCGUUAGGUGUCCG